GGACUCUGGCUCAGCUAGGUCACAGGUCUGCCCCCUGGAACUAUCACUGAGCACCAGGGAUAUCCUGACUUAUGUUCCUGUGCUGGUUAACCGAUCUUCAGUGAAGUCUUCCAAUCCCCUACUGGAGAGCCAAUCCCCAUUAUCGUGUCUUCAAGCAUUCUGUACAUCCACAAUUAUUCAAAUAAACCUAAUAAUCCAUUUAA
This is a long non-coding RNA of Suricata suricatta (meerkat), 203 nucleotides long. RefSeq lists it as uncharacterized. The record is from RefSeq and is a predicted model, not a curated record. The transcript is spliced from 2 exons. Lineage: Eukaryota; Metazoa; Chordata; Mammalia; Carnivora; Herpestidae.